UACGUAGGGUGCAAGCGUUAAUCGGAAUUACUGGGCGUAAAGCGUGCGCAGGCGGUUUUGUAAGACCGAUGUGAAAUCCCCGGGCUCAACCUGGGAACUGCAUUGGUGACUGCAAGGCUUGAGUGUGUCAGAGGGAGGUGGAAUUCCGCGUGUAGCAGUGAAAUGCGUAGAUAUGCGGAGGAACACCGAUGGCGAAGGCAAUCCCCUGGGCCUGCACUGACGCUCAUGCACGAAAGCGUGGGGAGCAAACAGG
RNAcentral lists this ribosomal RNA (253 nucleotides) under uncultured prokaryote. RNAcentral's name for it is "partial 16S ribosomal RNA". It matches the Rfam family "Bacterial small subunit ribosomal RNA", at positions 524 to 776 of the family's 1533-position model. The record is from RNAcentral.